GCACAGAGUCGGACAUGACUGAAGUGACUUAGCAGCAGCAGCAGCAACAGCAGCAUGGACCUAAUUGUAAAAGCUAGAACAUCAUAACUUUUUAAAAAUAAACAUGGAAGCAUAUAUUUAUGAUCUUUGAACAGGUAGAGGUUUCUUGGAGUGAAAGAAAAAGCCACAGAAAAAAGAUACCUUGAAUGUCACCAAAUAAUACCUCUACUCAGCAAAAGAAAAUUAAAAGUUUAACUACAAUAUGGGAGAAAAUGUUUACAGUAUAUAUUUUACAAUAAACUUGAUCCAGGGUAAAUAAGGAAAAAGCCAAUAAUAAAAUCACAAGCAAGUUUUAUACAAUGAGGCAGAAGAUCUGAACACUUCACCAGGAAGAAUGUAUGGAUGGUGAAUAUGAACAUGAAAAAGAACUUGAUAUCAUUAGUUAACCAGAGAAAUGCAAAUUAAAACCAUAAUGUAAUACCACUUUCUUGUUGCAUCAACAGAUGCUGUUGACAGUGUGAAGUCAUACAACUCAUGUAUUGCUCUGGGAAGUAGGUGAACCACAAAUAUCUAACUGUUUUCCACAUGAAGAUGUAUCUGUCCCAGAGCUGAACAUGCACCUGGAGCCAGAGGACUCUAAGGAGCUGGUUUUGAAGAAGAAGCUUUGCCUCCUUUUCCCUGCCUACUUUUGGUUCUUGGGAAUGUGGCUUGGACCAGAGUCACCUACAUUCAGCCCCAAAAAGCUAUUUUGAAAUGUGAAAUACAGACCUAACCCCACAAUUAUGUAGAGCAGGCGAUGACCUGCAUUCUGUGGUUUCGAGAGAAAUCUGGAUUUGGAUUCCUUUACUGUUU
This 831-nucleotide long non-coding RNA is filed under the name Capra hircus (goat). RNAcentral describes it as "lncRNA (ENSCHIG00010022132.1)". Lineage: Eukaryota; Metazoa; Chordata; Mammalia; Artiodactyla; Bovidae. The record is from RNAcentral.